Molecule: ribosomal RNA, 450 nt
Filed under: uncultured prokaryote
Description: bacterial SSU rRNA
Rfam family: Bacterial small subunit ribosomal RNA
Source: RNAcentral
UAGGGAAUAUUGCGCAAUGGCCGAAAGGCUGACGCAGCGACGCCGCGUGUGGGAGGACGCCCUUCGGGGUGUAAACCACUGUCAGAAGGGAAGAAAUCCGUGUGUCUGAAUAUGGCAUGCGGUUGACGGUACCUUCAAAGGAAGCGCCGGCUAACUCCGUGCCAGCAGCCGCGGUAAGACGGAGGGCGCAAGCGUUGUUCGGAAUUACUGGGCGUAAAGCGCACGCAGGCGGUCCUUUAAGUCCACUGUGAAAUUCCGGGGCUCAACCCCGGAGGUGCAGCGGAUACUGAGGGACUAGAGACCGGUAGAGGCUAGCGGAAUUCCUGGUGUAGCGGUGGAAUGCGUAGAUAUCAGGAGGAACACCGGUGGCGAAGGCGGCUAGCUGGGCCGGGUCUGACGCUCAGGUGCGAAAGCGUGGGGAGCAAACAGGAUUAGAUACCCCCGUAGUCC